GGCUUUGUGCAGUGGCAGUAUCGUAGCCAAUGAGGUUUAUCCGAGGCACAAUUAUUGCUAAUUAAAAGCUAAACAUGGGUCCACAUAUAUGUUUGUGGUAUGAUUCUUUUAAUUCUAUGGGGAA
Molecule: small nuclear RNA, 124 nt
Organism: Heterocephalus glaber (naked mole-rat)
Lineage: Eukaryota; Metazoa; Chordata; Mammalia; Rodentia; Bathyergidae
Gene: U4
Rfam family: U4 spliceosomal RNA
About the family: U4 small nuclear RNA (U4 snRNA) is a component of the major U2-dependent spliceosome. The structure of U4 snRNA from yeast and human has been reported. U4 snRNA presents a k-turn RNA motif in the 5p-SL related to recognition of Snu13 protein.
Source: Ensembl